CGGGGUGUAGCUCAGUUUGGUAGAGCGCUUGGUUCGGGACCAAGAGGCCGAGUGUUCAAGUCACUUCACUCCGACCA
RNAcentral lists this transfer RNA (77 nucleotides) under Clostridia bacterium. RNAcentral describes it as "tRNA-Pro". It matches the Rfam family "tRNA". From Rfam's summary of the family: Transfer RNA (tRNA) molecules are approximately 80 nucleotides in length. The record is from RNAcentral. Lineage: Bacteria; Bacillati; Bacillota; Clostridia. RNAcentral also lists the same sequence under 1 other name.